UGAAGUCGGGAUUUGCUGGGAAGCACACAGU
This 31-nucleotide non-coding RNA is filed under the name Homo sapiens (human). The record is from RNAcentral. Lineage: Eukaryota; Metazoa; Chordata; Mammalia; Primates; Hominidae.